RNAcentral lists this unclassified non-coding RNA (185 nucleotides) under uncultured fungus. RNAcentral's name for it is "sequence contains ITS1". Lineage: Eukaryota; Fungi. The record is from RNAcentral.
UUGAUUGAUUGUAUAUCAAACUCUGAAGAGUCCACUAUGGAUAAAUAGUUUGGGGCCCUCGGCGGGCGCCCGGGGUGUGCACGGCACGCCCCGGGGGGGUCCCGCCGAAGCAACGGUGGUAUGUUCACAAAGGUUUGGAGUUCGGAGACUCUGUAAUGAUCCCUCCGCUGGUUCACCAACGGAGA